GAUGAACGCUGGCGGCGUGCCUAAUACAUGCAAGUCGAGCGAACGGACGAGAAGCUUGCUUCUCUGAUGUUAGCGGCGGACGGGUGAGUAACACGUGGAUAACCUACCUAUAAGACUGGGAUAACUUCGGGAAACCGUAGCUAAUACCGGAUAAUAUUUUGAACCGCAUGGUUCAAAAGUGAAAGACGGUCUUGCUGUCACUUAUAGAUGGAUCCGCGCUGCAUUAGCUAGUUGGUAAGGUAACGGCUUACCAAGGCAACGAUGCAUAGCCGACCUGAGAGGGUGAUCGGACACACUGGAACUGAGACACGGUCCAGACUCCUACGGGAGGCGGCAGUAGGGAAUCUUCCGCAAUGGGCGAAAGCCUGACGGAGCAACGCCGCGUGAGUGAUGAAGGUCUUCGGAUCGUAAAACUCUGUUAUUAGGGAAGAACAUAUGUGUAAGUAACUGUGCACAUCUUGACGGUACCUAAUCAGAAAGCCACGGCUAACUACGUG
RNAcentral lists this ribosomal RNA (497 nucleotides) under uncultured bacterium. RNAcentral describes it as "partial 16S ribosomal RNA". It matches the Rfam family "Bacterial small subunit ribosomal RNA", at positions 28 to 507 of the family's 1533-position model. The record is from RNAcentral.